RNAcentral lists this ribosomal RNA (497 nucleotides) under uncultured bacterium. RNAcentral describes it as "partial 16S ribosomal RNA". It matches the Rfam family "Bacterial small subunit ribosomal RNA", at positions 28 to 507 of the family's 1533-position model. The record is from RNAcentral.
GAUGAACGCUGGCGGCGUGCCUAAUACAUGCAAGUCGAGCGAACAGAUGAGGAGCUUGCUCCUCUGACGUUAGCGGCGGACGGGUGAGUAACACGUGGAUAACCUACCUAUAAGACUGGGAUAACUUCGGGAAACCGGAGCUAAUACCGGAUAAUAUAUUGAACCGCAUGGUUCAAUAGUGAAAGACGGUUUUGCUGUCACUUAUAGAUGGAUCCGCCCCGCAUUAGCUAGUUGGUAAGGUAACGGCUUACCAAGGCAACGAUGCGUAGCCGACCUGAGAGGGUGAUCGGCCACACUGGAACUGAGACACGGUCCAGACUCCUACGGGAGGCAGCAGUAGGGAAUCUUCCGCAAUGGGCGAAAGCUUGACGGAGCAACGCCGCGUGAGUGAUGAAGGUCUUCGGAUCGUAAAACUCUGUUAUUAGGGAAGAACAAAUGUGUAAGUAACUAUGCACGUCUUGACGGUACCUAAUCAGAAAGCCACGGCUAACUACGUG